This 422-nucleotide ribosomal RNA is filed under the name uncultured archaeon. RNAcentral describes it as "partial 16S ribosomal RNA". It matches the Rfam family "Archaeal small subunit ribosomal RNA", at positions 323 to 746 of the family's 1478-position model. The record is from RNAcentral.
CUACGGGUGGCAGCAGGCGCGAAACCUUUACAAUGCACGAAAGUGUGAUAAGGGGACUCUAAGUGCUCAUGCUUUGCAUGGGCUUUUGUUAAGGGUAAAAUCCUUGACGAAUAAGUGGUGGGCAAGACUGGUGCCAGCAGCCGCGGUAAUACCAGCGCCACAAGUAGGAAUCCUAUUUAUUUGGCCUAAAGCGUCCGUAGCUGGUUGAACAAAUCUUUUGUGAAAUCGUGGAGCUCAACUUCACGGCGUGCAGGAGACACUAUUCGACUAGGAACCGGGAGAGGUCAGAGGUAUUCUAGGGGGAGCGGUAAAAUGUUAUAAUCCCUGGAGGACCACCGAUAGCGAAGGCAUCUGACUAGAACGGAUUCGACAGUGAGGGACGAAAGCCAGGGGAGCAAACCGGAUUAGAUACCCCAGUAGUC